UAUUGACAAACUUGCUGCAAAAUUUCUUCGUUUGCAUUUUUUUCAAAAUAAUCUCCCAUCGGUCUGUGUCAUCAGAUUUGUUGAAAGAGUCUGUUGAAAGAAGAUGGAUUAGACAACAAAUCCAAACAAUUUUCAUUGUGUGGCCCCUGGCAUUUUUCACUUCAACGGGUAAACAGAGAUGAAGUAAGAGAUUUAAUAAGAUCGUGGUAGUCAUUGGAACUUAAAUCUACAGUCAUGAUGAAAAGAAAAGAAAAAAUCCAAAAAGAUUAUUUUAUUCAAAUCUAUACAGAACUCAGAACAAAACGCCGAGUAUUCAAGAUAUGAUCCAAUAUCAUUUUACCCUGGGACCUAAUCUGGAAGUUUCCAUCUAUGUUAUCUGAUUUACUUUCCUUAGCAGAAUAAUGCCUUUGUGAAUAUUCUAUAAAAGCUUAUUUUCUAUGAAUCAAUGCUUACUUGUUCAUUGAGGUUUUCACACAUUUCCAAGCUAAUGCCA
Long non-coding RNA from Stomoxys calcitrans (stable fly), 493 nucleotides. RefSeq lists it as uncharacterized. NCBI's taxonomy places the organism in Eukaryota, Metazoa, Arthropoda, Insecta, Diptera, Muscidae. The record is from RefSeq and is a predicted model, not a curated record. The transcript is spliced from 2 exons.